CGAAGCAACGCGAAGAACCUUACCAGGCCUUGACAUGCAGAGAACUUUCCAGAGAUGGAUUGGUGCCUUCGGGAACUCUGACACAGGUGCUGCAUGGCUGUCGUCAGCUCGUGUCGUGAGAUGUGGGUUAAGUCCCGUAACGAGCGCAACCCUUGUCCUUAGUUACCAGCACGUUAUGGUGGGCACUCUAAGGAGACUGCCUACGCAAGUAGUGAGGAAGUGGGGAUGACGUCAAAUCAGCACGGCCCUUACGUCCAGGGCUACACACGUGCUACAAUGGCCGAUACAGAGGGCAGCUACCUGGUGACAGGAUGCAAAUCUCCAAAGUCGGUCUCAGUUCGGAUCGGAGUCUGCAACCCGACUCCGUGAAGUUGGAUUCGCUAGUAAUCGCGCAUCAGCCAUGGCGCGGCGAAUACGUUCCCGGGCCUU
This 429-nucleotide ribosomal RNA is filed under the name uncultured Sphingobacteriales bacterium. RNAcentral describes it as "bacterial SSU rRNA". It matches the Rfam family "Bacterial small subunit ribosomal RNA", at positions 952 to 1382 of the family's 1533-position model. The record is from RNAcentral. Lineage: Bacteria; Pseudomonadati; Bacteroidota; Sphingobacteriia; Sphingobacteriales.